CGCGUAGGCGGCUCAUAAAGGCUGUGGUGAAAGUUCGGGGCUCAACCUCGAAUCGGCCGUGGCGACUUGUGGGCUGGAGCACUGUAGAGGCGAGUGGAAUUCCGGGUGUAGCGGUGGAAUGCGUAGAGAUCCGGAAGAACACCAGUGGCGAAGGCGGCCCGCUGGGCAGUGGCUGACGCUGAAGCGCGACAGCGUGGGAGCAAACA
RNAcentral lists this ribosomal RNA (206 nucleotides) under uncultured bacterium. RNAcentral's name for it is "partial 16S ribosomal RNA". It matches the Rfam family "Bacterial small subunit ribosomal RNA", at positions 568 to 774 of the family's 1533-position model. The record is from RNAcentral.